Long non-coding RNA from Saccostrea cuccullata (small rock oyster), 1259 nucleotides. RefSeq lists it as uncharacterized. Lineage: Eukaryota; Metazoa; Mollusca; Bivalvia; Ostreida; Ostreidae. The record is from RefSeq and is a predicted model, not a curated record. The transcript has 5 exons.
AGCUGAUCGCCAACCAGGAGAUCAAAAUGAUAGCAUCUGCUCCUGCCACUUUAAGGAUGGUAAGAAGGAGGGGGGCCCUGCAUAUUUUGCAUGGAAUGAAGGAAAGGCCAUGAAUUUCUCUGAUCCUGAAUGUACACAAAGUUGAAGAAAAAACUCAAAAGUGAGGAGUCCCUGUCAUCUUCACAGAUGGACCAGUUGCAGAUUCCACAAGCACCAAAAUGUCAAGAUCAAGAAAAAUUGAUAUCAGAGCACAACUACUCAGCAUCCUGCACAUUUAACUGUACUCAAGAAAAGCAGCGCCUCUCAACAGAAAUACAGCAACUGGAAAAGGAAUUGCUUGCCCUAAAAAUCGAGUCUAGUUAAAGGAAGCCAAUGUCAAUUCACAAUAUUAAAGACAACAAAGAGAAGAUGCUUUUGUAUACAUCCCUACAGUAUGACAUAUUUGAAAUCUUAAGUCAGAUUGUUACAACGAUUUGAACUCGAUUAUUAUAAUGGCUGGACUCCUUCAAUGAAAACAGAGGACCAACUGCUCAUUGUACAAGUGAAGUUAAAACUCAAUCUGUGGGACACUGACUUGGCUCAUAGAUUCUGUGUCAGUCGACCAACAGUUUUGAACAUCUUUCAUACCCUUGUUCAUGCGCCAUGCACUACACAAGAUGCUGUCUGAUGGCGUAGUUAAUGAAUGUUUUCCAAGUCAGCUAAAAUGCAAAGGGUCUCUGCCAAAAUCUUUCGAGGAUUUUUCCUCUGCUAGAGCAUCCAUGGAUGCAAUUGAAACAAUCCAGGACAUCCCAACACAUAUGGACAAUCAGGCCAUGGCCUACAGUAUGUACAAAAGUCGCCAUACUGUUAAAGCAGUGACUUGCAUGGCUCCAAACGGUGCACUUACAUUUUGCUCCAUGCUGUACCCAGGUUCUACUUCAGAUGUAGCUAUUGUACGUCACAGCCAAGUUUUACGAAAGUUCAAAGCUGGAGACCUUAUUUUGGCGGACAAAGGUUUCACCAUUCAUGACCAGUUGCCCCAGGGUGUCUGCUUUAAUAUACCAGCUUUUUUAUAGACAUGAGGCCAGUUUACCAAACAAGAAGCAGCACUGUGUUACAAGAUUGCUAAAGCACGUAUUCAUGCGGAAAGAGCCAAAGAGAGGAUAAAGAAUUACAAGAUUCUCCGUCACAUCCCAUCUACUUACAGACCAAUCUCAACAAAAAUAUUUCAACUCUGUUCUUGUCUUGUAAACUUGCAAGCUCCACUUUUGAAAGAAAUU